AUGGGUGUGUGUACAUGCAUGUGCCUGGGCUGUGUGCACAUGUGCAUGUGUGUCUGCAUGUUUGCUGUGCAUGUCUGGGCCGUGCAUGUCUGUGCACGGGCCGUGUCUGGGGGGGGUGGGGCUGUGCCGUGCCCUAGGAGUGUGCUCUGUGUGUGCUGCAAGUGUGCUCUGUGCCAUGUGUGUCUGCACGUGUGCUGUGCAUGUCUGGGCCGUGCGUGUCUGUGUGUGGGUGGGGGGGGCUGUGCCCUAGGAGUGUGCUCUGUGUGUGCGGCGAGUGUGCUCUGUGCCAUGUGUGUCUGCACGUGUGCUGUGCAUGUCUGGGCCGUGCAUGUCUGUGCAUGUGCCGUAUGUGUAUGGCUGUGCCCUAGCCAUGUGCUCUGUGCCGUGUGUGUCUGUGCGUGGCCGUGCACGAGCCAGUGGGAGCAGUGCAUGUGGGUGCACAUGCUGGCAAAGGGGGCCCCCCCCGAUCCUCUCUGCCAUUCCUCUCCAAGUGCUCCACCUUUGGCGCCAGCUGGGGGGAGAGGGGACUCUGGCGCGGAGAUGGUGGCACACUACGGCUUGGGCCAUGCCAGGGGCACAGGUAGGAGUCCUGCCGGGUGGGUUGGACCCUGCCUGCCCCAGACACAACCCUGGCCUUGGCACUGCCACCUGCCCCCAGGCUCUGCCUUUGCCCAGUCUCAGCCAGACACCAUCUCCCUCCAUGGUAGCAGCAGCCUCCACCCUGCUUCAGCCUGGCCAGGAGGCGAGGGCCUGGAAGACAGAGCAAAGAGCUGGGCUAGCCUGACCCCCCUGCUGCCUCCCCCCACCCCCACCUCAUUGACUCUGUGCUGCCCUCCCCUUCACUGCCCCUCCACAGCAGGGCCCAGCGCCCCCUGGCAGCUGGUCUCCUGGGCCCCCUCCUCCCAGAGCCCCAUCUGUGCAGCCCCUGUGGCGCUUUGGGCCAUGUGGCAGCUGCGAGCCUCCGGCCCCCAGCCCAGGACACUUGGGCCCCAACUUCCCCAUACCCGUCACGAGCUGGGCAGGGGCUGA
This 1029-nucleotide long non-coding RNA is filed under the name Gopherus agassizii (Agassiz's desert tortoise). Its description in RNAcentral is "lncRNA (ENSGAGG00000015054.1)". Lineage: Eukaryota; Metazoa; Chordata; Testudines; Testudinidae. The record is from RNAcentral.